This 581-nucleotide ribosomal RNA is filed under the name Fiorinia hymenanthis. Its description in RNAcentral is "partial large subunit ribosomal RNA". The record is from RNAcentral. Lineage: Eukaryota; Metazoa; Arthropoda; Insecta; Hemiptera; Diaspididae.
AUCUGGGCGGCGGAAUUCAGGAUGGCUGGCGGGCUUCGCGCUCGUCCGGUCGUUUGAUAUUUCCGUCGCCGUGUCGGACGUCGCGACCUGUUUGUCGUCGGUCCAUGCUCGGAGGAAUCGCGAUCGAGUUCGUUGCGCGGUGCGUUUCGGCGUGCCGAGCGGCGAAGACGCGGCUCUCUGGCUGACGRCGGACAGUAAGCAACGGUGUCCGGCGUCGUGUCUCGCACUCGACGUCGGUGCCGGUCUGCGACGAUUUCUUCGGGCCUCUUUCCGACCCGUCUUGAAACACGGACCAAGGAGUCUAACAUGCGCGCGAGUCGCGGGGUUUCGAGYGUACCACGGUACGCUCGUYACUUGCGAAACCCGUACGUUGAAGGCGUAAUGAAAGUGAACAGGGAAGAUGGCGUUCCGAGUCCACGUACCGUGAUCGAGUGUCGCGGCCGGACGUCCGCACUCCCGGGGCGUCUCAAUGGCUCGUCGCGGAUGCGGACGGUCGUCUCUCGGGGCGGCCGUCGGUCUGCGACGGACCGAGGCGCACCUAUAGCGUGCACGUUGGUACCCGAAAGAUGGUGAACUAUGCC